CCCCCCCCCCCGUCAAAUGUACUGCUUAUCAACUCAGGCAGAGUCAUGGCACACUUACAUCUGUUUUGGGAAAUUCUCCUGCAGUUGUCUUCCUCCAUGUUUUGUUAAUCAACUCUUAGUUCUUAUGCAACUAAAGUCUCUGAAAAGCCACCUUUACUCAAAGGAACAGCAUACUCCAUUCACCACCAUGCUAAAUACAAGUUUUUCAUCUGCAUUGAGGGCCCUUUCAAAUAACGUCGUAUGGAACCUUCAAAUUUUCCUUUUUAAAUACAGUGGUGCCCCGCUUGUCAAUGGUAAUCUGUUCCAGGAAAAUCACUGUUAAGCGAAAUCGUCUUCCAGCGGAAAAAAAACCAUUGGAAUGCAUUGAAAACCGAUCAAUGAGUUCCAAUGGGGAAAUACCUCAUCGUCCAGCGAAGAUUGCCCAUAGAGAACCGCCUAUCAGCUGUUUAAAAUCACUUUCUUCCAAAGCAGGUGUGUGGAAAACAGCCAUUUUGCGAAGGGAGAGAAGCCAUUUUACAAAGGGAAGCCAUUUUGCAGAGUAGGAAAAAUCGUCAUUUAGUGAACAAAUAGUUCGUGAAGCAGGCUCCUAAUCGACGUCAAGUGAAAAAACCCCAUUGGAACCAUCAUUUUGUGAUUGCAAUAGCAAUCGCAAAAAAAAUCUCAUUGGAAAGCGAUUUUGAUGUCAUGCGGGGUAAGCGUCAAGCAGGGCACCACUGUACCAUGUUUGCCCGAAAAUAAGAUUUUGCUCCAAAAAACGCAUUAGGCCUUAUUUUCAGGGGAUGUUUUAUUUUACAGUCAUAUCAUCUUCUGGUUGCUGCACAAUGGUAGAGGGCGGGGUUUCACUUAACUAGGGGUUAUUUUUGGGGUAUGGCUUAUAUUACGAGCAUCCUGAAAAAUCAUACUAGGCUUAUUUUCAGGUUAGGUCUUAUUUGGGGGGAAACAGGGUAGCAGGCUUCUGCGUUUGAAGGUUUUUCUCUCAUUUUUAAAGAUACGAUCAUCACCUUUGAAAGAAU
Molecule: long non-coding RNA, 1013 nt
Filed under: Pogona vitticeps (central bearded dragon)
Lineage: Eukaryota; Metazoa; Chordata; Lepidosauria; Squamata; Agamidae
Description: lncRNA (ENSPVIG00000021994.1)
Source: RNAcentral